GGUGUAUAAUUAAGUGGGCUAGCUUAAGGGGUGUUGUACAAGGGAAUUGUAGCCCAAUUGAAAAUUUGAACGAUUAGGAGAUAUCAGUAAGAGAGGGUUAGGGUUGCUAAUAGAAAACAUAAGCACGGCAUAGAGAUAGCAAAGGAAGUUUUGGUAGAGAAGCAGAAAAAAAGUCAUUAGGAGCACCGGUUGGAAAAGUUGAUCGGGAAAAAUUUAGAGCAACCUUCGAUCCAAAGUGAUGCAUUUCAUUGUGUUGCAUGAAUUUCAUUUUUGGUGACGACCUGGAUUUGGCGAAACAGUGACGAAGGCUUGUGCCUGUUUGAAUGCCUCUAAUAAUUGGCAAUUGACGAUGGGGGCUGAAGCCCUGGGUACCACAUGCAUUUGCAUCUUGUCGAGUCUCAUUUCAUUUUGUGUGAUUAUACGAUUAUGUAACUGUGAAUGUGAAAUUGUGAAGUGAAUUGGAUGGUAACAAUUAUACCGCAAGUGAUGAAUUUUAUGACCGUUAAGCUCAAUAUACUAUUUAUCAUCACUUUAUUUAUAUUGUUUGAUAUUGAAUGAUUUCUUUGUUUA
This is a long non-coding RNA of Vicia villosa (hairy vetch), 570 nucleotides long. RefSeq lists it as uncharacterized. The transcript is spliced from 2 exons. NCBI's taxonomy places the organism in Eukaryota, Viridiplantae, Streptophyta, Magnoliopsida, Fabales, Fabaceae. The record is from RefSeq and is a predicted model, not a curated record.